The submitters of this non-coding RNA (147 nucleotides) gave its source as unclassified sequences. The record is from Rfam.
AAUCGGCGUACAACACCGGGGACGUGUCCCCUACCGUGGUGCCGAGGGAAGCAAGCCACAGCAAAAGCGCACAGGUGCGGAAAGUUGAAAAAUCACGCGUCGGGUGGAGUUUGGUAGGCUCAAGUCAGCUCGAAGAAGUCAGACCCG